GCACAGGAGAGCUUGCUCUCUGGGUGGCGAGUGGCGGACGGGUGAGGAAUACAUCGGAAUCUACUUUUUCGUGGGGGAUAACGUAGGGAAACUUACGCUAAUACCGCAUACGACCUACGGGUGAAAGCAGGGGAUCUUCGGACCUUGCGCGAUUGAAUGAGCCGAUGUCGGAUUAGCUAGUUGGCGGGGUAAAGGCCCACCAAGGCGACGAUCCGUAGCUGGUCUGAGAGGAUGAUCAGCCACACUGGAACUGAGACACGGUCCACACUCCUACGGGAGGCAGCAGUGGGGAAUAUUGGACAAUGGGCGCAAGCCUGAUCCACCCAUACCGCGUGGGUGAAGAAGGCCUUCGGGUUGUAAAGCCCUUUUGUUGGGAAAGAAAUCCAGCUGGCUAAUACCCGGUUGGGAUGACGGUACCCAAAGAAUAAGCACCGGCUAACUUCGUGCCAGCAGCCGCGGUAAUACGAAGGGUGCAAGCGUUACUC
This 485-nucleotide ribosomal RNA is filed under the name Stenotrophomonas sp. 511(2010). Its description in RNAcentral is "bacterial SSU rRNA". It matches the Rfam family "Bacterial small subunit ribosomal RNA", at positions 69 to 546 of the family's 1533-position model. Lineage: Bacteria; Pseudomonadati; Pseudomonadota; Gammaproteobacteria; Lysobacterales; Lysobacteraceae. The record is from RNAcentral.